GGGGCCUUAGCGGGACAGGGUCAGGGAUCCCUAGAAAUAUAAACGGACUCUGACAUCCUGGCCAGAGACCUUUUGCUUUGCCGCUCUGCACCUGCCCAGUACGAUGACCGUGGCUCUGCCCUGCGCGUGCGCACUGGCUCUGGGUUGCCUUGCGGCGCUCCUGGUGCCACCCAGUGGCGCCCUGGAGGACGAGGUCCACCUGCAGCCGAUUCCCGAGCCCAGGUCGGUCAGUUGGUUUUCAAGUUUCGGCCAGAUCAACAAGUACUUGGAGAAGCUCUUCAGCAACAGUUCGAAGAAAUUCAAAAACCUCAUGAAACCCUCCAACACCACCAAAUCUGCCCCAUCGAACACCACAGAACGUCCUUACUUGAAUGCCACGAACCCCCUACGGAAAAGCAUCAGCAAACCCCCAACACAGGAACCCCGCGGACGCCUGUCACUAGCCUCCUCCCCAGGCUCCAGCCUGAACAAUAGACAGCAAUAAUGGAACUGACAAGAUGGCUCAGUGGUAAGGGCACUUGCCACUAAGCCUGCCGGCCAGAGUUCCACCCCCAAUCUCAUAAGACAGAAGAAAGGACACAUGUACCGUGACUUGCGUGUGCACACAUGUAAUGCAAACACACAAUAACAAUAAAGGAAUGGAU
RNAcentral lists this long non-coding RNA (644 nucleotides) under Mus spicilegus (steppe mouse). Its description in RNAcentral is "lncRNA (ENSMSIG00000028252.1)". Lineage: Eukaryota; Metazoa; Chordata; Mammalia; Rodentia; Muridae. The record is from RNAcentral.